GAUGAACGCUAGCGGGAGGCUUAAUACAUGCAAGUCGAGCGGUAAUUUAGGAAUAGCAAUAUUUCUGAGCUAGAGCGGCGCACGGGUGAGUAACGCGUACACGACCUGCCCUUUACUGGGGGAUAGCCUUGGGAAACUGAGAUUAAUACCCCAUGGUAUUAUUAUGCUGCAUGGUAUAAUAAUUAAAGCUGAGGCGGUAAAGGAUGGGUGUGCGUCUGAUUAGCUAGUUGGUAGGGUAACGGCCUACCAAGGCGAUGAUCAGUAGGGGGCGUGAGAGCGUGACCCCCCACACGGGUACUGAGACACGGACCCGACUCCUACGGGAGGCAGCAGUAAGGAAUAUUGGUCAAUGGAGGGAACUCUGAACCAGCCAUCCCGCGUGCAGGAUGGAA
RNAcentral lists this ribosomal RNA (392 nucleotides) under uncultured bacterium. RNAcentral describes it as "bacterial SSU rRNA". It matches the Rfam family "Bacterial small subunit ribosomal RNA", at positions 28 to 413 of the family's 1533-position model. The record is from RNAcentral.